Molecule: transfer RNA, 91 nt
Filed under: Chloroflexi bacterium RBG_16_64_32
Lineage: Bacteria; Bacillati; Chloroflexota
Description: tRNA-Ser
Rfam family: tRNA
About the family: Transfer RNA (tRNA) molecules are approximately 80 nucleotides in length. Their secondary structure includes four short double-helical elements and three loops (D, anti-codon, and T loops).
Source: RNAcentral
GGAGGGGUGCCGGAGCGGUUGAACGGGCACGCCUGGAAAGCGUGUGUCCGCCUGAGGCGGACCGUGGGUUCGAAUCCCACCCCCUCCGCCA